RNAcentral lists this transfer RNA (72 nucleotides) under Xylaria grammica. It matches the Rfam family "tRNA". Rfam says of the family: Transfer RNA (tRNA) molecules are approximately 80 nucleotides in length. Their secondary structure includes four short double-helical elements and three loops (D, anti-codon, and T loops). The record is from Rfam by way of RNAcentral. Lineage: Eukaryota; Fungi; Ascomycota; Sordariomycetes; Xylariales; Xylariaceae. RNAcentral also lists the same sequence under 1 other name.
GGAGCUGUGGCGCAACGGUAGCGCGUCAGAUUCCAGUCCUGAAGGUUAUCCGUUCAAAUCGGGUCAGCUUCA